This 764-nucleotide small RNA is filed under the name Arabidopsis thaliana (thale cress). RNAcentral's name for it is "ATSL033810". The record is from RNAcentral. Lineage: Eukaryota; Viridiplantae; Streptophyta; Magnoliopsida; Brassicales; Brassicaceae.
CUAAAUAAGCUUCUUCUUCCUUCUCAAAGCUUUGAUGGUGUAGCUGAAGUCCGUAUGAGUGAUAAUAGGUUUUUAGUCAAUUAUCGUAAAACACCAAUCAUGUCGUUGUAGUAUUUUAGAUUGUCAAUCCAAAUAGGUGUGAUGUGAUAACACUGUAUUUUACUCAUUUUAGGUGUAUGUUUAUCAUCAUUUAGCUUUACAUUUGUUCAUUGUAUCAUAUCAUUUUGCACCAUUUUAGCUUGUUUUGCAUACUUAGGCAUCUAAGAUCAUCUUGCAUAUGCAUUGCAUGUUUUGGUGUGUUUUCAGGUGCAGAAGGAGCUAAAAAGGACUCUACUCGAUCCAUUCACUCGAUCCAGGCAGCUAUAGAAGAGGCAUCAUUCUACACUACCUCUUUACUCGAUCUAGGAUGCUACAAAGGAGGCUUAAGUUUACUCGACCCUCUUACUCGAUCAAGGCAACCUCAGAUGAAGCAGCAGAUUGAUCUACUCGCCCCUCCUACUCGAUCCCCUACUCGAUCCAUUUACUCGACCAAGGGUGACCAUCUCUACAAGACUUGUUGAGCUAUCAAAGCGUCUUCGGAUCCUUCUCAUUCCCCACUCAACCAGACAUCUGAGCAUACGGAUAGGAGAGGAUGAAGCAUCUACUCGACCAAUUGAUCACUCGGAGUCUCUUAUCUUCUAGUGAAUCUAGGGUUUCCAACAUUUUAGUAUAAAUAGAUCACUUUGGGAUUUGUCCAGAGGAUCUAUGUUUUUAUCUUUCACUUU